UCUGUUUGUCUUUUUUAUUUUUAGUCAUGGCGUUGUCAGUUUGUUUUAGAUUUAUGAGUUUGACUGUCCCUUUGGUAUCUUUCGUCCCUCUUUUCUAUUUGUACACAGACAACAUUUCGCUCUGUUGUAAAAUCUUAAGGAAUCAAAACUGUAAGAGCUAUCCACAAACUCUUAUAAAAAACAGAUCUUACAUUCGAAGCCUUUUCGUUUACCUUAUAUCACACAAUAUUAUGUCUCAAGCUAUGAUAAACUUUGAACUAAUCAAACCAGUUCACAUCUACAAAUGUGAUAAUAUGUGACUAAAUGGUGAAUGUUUUAUGUCAAGUAAGGUAAAAGAAGAUAAUUCUUACCUGGAAUACAUGUUUGAACAGUUUGUAAUUACAUACGCAGUCAAAAUUGUAUUUAGCUGAAAUUUAUCUCAUAAGACCAGUAAUCUACGCUCUCUAUGUACAAAUGUACAUGUAUUAAAAGACACCCUUCCUUAUG
RNAcentral lists this long non-coding RNA (486 nucleotides) under Mytilus galloprovincialis (Mediterranean mussel). The record is from RNAcentral. Lineage: Eukaryota; Metazoa; Mollusca; Bivalvia; Mytilida; Mytilidae.